RNAcentral lists this ribosomal RNA (552 nucleotides) under uncultured bacterium. RNAcentral's name for it is "partial 16S ribosomal RNA". It matches the Rfam family "Bacterial small subunit ribosomal RNA", at positions 355 to 895 of the family's 1533-position model. The record is from RNAcentral.
UGGGGAAUAUUGGACAAUGGGCGAAAGCCUGAUCCAGCCAUGCCGCGUGUGUGAAGAAGGUCUUCGGAUUGUAAAGCACUUUAAGUUGGGAGGAAGGGCAGUUACCUAAUACGUGAUUGUCUUGACGUUACCGACAGAAUAAGCACCGGCUAACUCUGUGCCAGCAGCCGCGGUAAUACAGAGGGUGCAAGCGUUAAUCGGAAUUACUGGGCGUAAAGCGCGCGUAGGUGGCUUGUUAAGUUGGAUGUGAAAUCCCCGGGCUCAACCUGGGAACUGCAUUCAAAACUGCCAAGCUAGAGUAUGGUAGAGGGUGGUGGAAUUUCCUGUGUAGCGGUGAAAUGCGUAGAUAUAGGAAGGAACACCAGUGGCGAAGGCGACCACCUGGACUGAUACUGACACUGAGGUGCGAAAAGCGUGGGGAGCAAAACAGGAUUUAGAUACCCUGGUAGUCCACGCCGUAAAACGAUGUCAACUAGCCGUUGGGAGCCUUGAGCUCUUAGUGGCGCAGCUAACGCAUUAAGUUGACCGCCUGGGGAGUACGGCCGCAAGGUU